AAAUCCUCUAUCUCCUCCAACAAGAUCCCAAAUCCCCCAAAUACCAAAUCCCUCAUUCAAAUCCCCAAAUCCAAUCCUCCACUCCCAAAAAUUGAAGGUGAAAAUUAUUCUCAAAAACUCCCAAAAGAUCUCCUGUAAUUAUCUUCUAAAAACUACUCGUUAAUUCAAGUAUCUCCAAUUUGAAAUUCCUAUUCCGUUGCUCACUCGUUUCGAAACGAUUCAAUUCAAUCAUCUCAGCCACCACCUCUUCAAUCCAAACUCUUUCCCUAACAAACAACAUUAACACCCAAAUCAAAAAGAAAUUCCUCAAAAAAAUCAUGGGAAAGUUUCAUAAUCUUAAAUCUUUGUACAUAGAGUACAACAAAUUGGAAUCUAAUCUCAAAUGGAAAGCAGUUUACAGAUCUGGAAUUUAUUGCUUUGUAGCUAUCCAAAUGAAAUGGGAAUCAAAAGUACAUAGGAGUUGAUUCCGAAUCAGAUUUGGAACCCGAUGCAGUCCUGCAACGUUCAAAAAGGAUUUCUGCGAUGAUGAAAUUCCAUGAGUUAAUGGUGUUAUUUAUUCGUAAGCACAAAAUGCUUAAUAAUGUUGAUUUGUAGGUAAAUUUGGGGAUUUGAAUGAGGGAUUUGGUAUUUGGGGGAUUUGGGAUCUUGUCGGAGGAGACAGAGGAUUUGGUAUUUUGAUUAUUUGUAUUAUUUAGAAUUAAAAUAAUUAAAAGAAAGGAAAAGAGAUAAAGGAA
RNAcentral lists this long non-coding RNA (734 nucleotides) under Panax ginseng (ginseng). RNAcentral's name for it is "long non-coding RNA (PGIN_LNC003124)". Lineage: Eukaryota; Viridiplantae; Streptophyta; Magnoliopsida; Apiales; Araliaceae. The record is from RNAcentral.